AUAGGAAUCUAAGAGCACAGGGUGGAUGCCUUGGCUGUAGCAAGCGAUGAAGGACGUGGACAAUCUGCGAUAAGUUUCGGCGAGACGAUAAUCAGUCUUUGACCCGGAAAUUUCCGAAUGGGGAAACCUCUCUAGAUNNGUCUAGAGACCUAGGACAUAGAAGCCUAGGAGCGAACGGGGGGAAGUGAAACAUCUCAGUACCCCUAGGAAUAGAGAACAAUAGUUAUUUCCUAAGUAGCGGCGAGCGAAACGGAAACAGCCCAAACCAGAGUAAUUACUUUUUGUUUUUAUUGUGGGGUUGUAGGGUACUAACGUCUUUACGAGAAGAGUUACAAAAUUGAUAUAUAGUCGAAUCCGAUUGAAAGCGGAAUCAUAGAGGGUGCAAAUCCCGUAGACGAAAUAUAUCAGUCUCUUUUGUUAGUAUUCCUGAGUACUCCGAGACAUGAAUAGCUCGGAGGAAUCUGCCAGUACUAACUGGUAAGGCUAAAUAUUNCUACAGACCGAUAGUGAACUAGUACCGUGAGGGAAAGGUGAAAAGAACCCCGGGAGGGGAGUGAAAUAGAUCUGAAACCCUGUGUUUACAAGGAGUAGNAGAGGUACUUGNNCCUCGACUGCGUGCCUAUUGAAGAAUGAGCCAACGAGUCUAUAUAUGCAGCAAGNUAAGGGGGUNAAGCUCNGGANCUACAGGGAAACCGAGUGUGAAUAGCGCGAAAUANAUGUUGUAUGUAUAGGACCCGAAACCAAGUGAUCUAUCCAUGUGCAGGGUGAACCUCCGCGAAAGCGGAGGGGAGGCCCGAACCGGGUGGUCGUNCAAUUCCAUCGGAUGACGUGUGGANAGNAGUGAAAAGCUAAUCGAACUUGGUAAUAGCUGGUUCUCUCCGAAAUAGCUUUAGGGUUAGCGUUACGUGUUCCCUCUGGGGGUAGAGCACUGAUUAGAUCUUGGAUAGCCUUAACGGGCGCCAGACUCGUCAAACUCCGAAUACCAGAGNUUAANAGCGUAGCAGUUAGACUACGGGGGCGAAGCUCCGUUGGUCAAAAGGGAAACAGCCCAGAUCUCAAAAUAAGGUCCCUAAAUAUAUACUCAGUGCACUUAAGGAGGUGAAAUUUCAUCGACAAUCAGGAGGUUGGCUUAGAAGCAGCCAUCCUUUAAAGAUAGCGUAACAGCUCACUGAUCUAGAGAUAUCGCGCCGCAAAUAAUCGGGGCUAAGUAUAUUACCGAAUUUGAGGACUGUACCUUAUGGUACAGUGGUAGGAGAGCGUUCCUCUCUGCGUUGAAGCCAAAGGCGUGAGCCAUGGUGGAGCGUGAGGAAGCGAGAAUGUUGGCACAAGUAACCGCAACACGGGUGAGAUCCCCGUGCGCCGAAAGAAUAAGGUUUCCGUGGCCAUGAUGAUCAUCCACGGGUUAGUCGGUCCUAAGCCAAUGGCGAACGCCGAAGGUGAUGGACAUAGGGUUAAUAUUCCCUAACUAUUAGGUGCUGCGAUGGAGUGACAUAGGAAAUAAGCAUNNGCGCAUUAUUGGAUUUGCGUUNNNGNCUGUAGACAGGUGGUUUAGGUAAAUCCGGACCACAUAUACUGGANANGNNGNNACAAUUGAAGCCUACGGGUGGAAAAAGNUNUGUGAAGAGCCUAUCGAGAAAAACUUCUAAGCUUAAGCAUGUGAUAACCGUACCGCAAACCGACACAGGUAUUCAGGUCGAGUAGACCAAGGCGAACGAGUGAGAGGUCCUUAAGGAACUCGGCAAAACAGCGACCGUAACUUCGGAAUAAGGUCCGCCCAUAUGUGAACAUAGUAUUGAACUAUCUUCACAGAUGACGUUUUGUUUGAUGUUUGUUAAACCAAUCAUAAUACUAAUUUAAAAAGCAACUGAAUAUAUUAAUUUAUAUUCAAAUCACUCCUGAGUGGAAAUUACAUAAUGUAAAUGUAUAUGUGAUUACUGCUCAGGAAAUUUUUAAUUUGAACAUGAAUUGAGACACACAAUCAUUAAUCAAAGCGUCACAUAUGUUGAAUAUUAUGUUCACAUAUGGGCCGCAGCGAAAGAUCCCUGGCAACUGUUUAUCAAAAACACAGCUCCCUGCGAACUCGUAAGAGGAUGUAUAGGGGGUGACGCCUGACCAAUGUCAGAAGGUUAAAUACGGACGGUGUAAAUAACUUUGUUAUUUAUGCUGGGCUGUAUAAGCCCUGAUCAAUGUCGGCCGUAACUAUAACGGUCCUAAGGUAGCGAAAUUCCUUGUCUGGUAAGUUCAGACGUGCACGAAUGGCGUAAUGACUGGGGAACUGUCUCAAGGACUUGCUCGGUGAAAAUGCAAUUCCGGUAAAGAUGCCGGAUACCUGCAGUUAGACGAAAAGACCCUAGGAGCUUUACUACAGCUUCAUAUUGGUUCUAUAGAUUCACUGCGUAGCAUAGGUGGGAGACUUUGAAGCGUUCCUUUUGGGGAACGUGGAGUCGUCAGUGAAAUACCACUCUUUGAUUUUAUAGAAUCUAACCCCUACGGUAAAAACGUAGAGAGACAGUGUGUGGUGGGUAGUUUGAGUGGGGCGCUUUCCUCCUAAAGAGUAACGGAGGAGCAUAUAAAGGUUCGUUAGGCGCGUAUGGAAAUCGUGCUGAUAGUGUAAUGGCAUAAACGAGCUUAACUGCGAGAGGUACAUCUCAAGCAGAUGCGAAAGCAGAUCAUAGUGAACCGACAGUGGCCUUUAGAUGGCGCUGGAGAUUAACGGAUAAAAGCUACCCUAGGGAUAACAGGCUAGUAUCGCCCAAGAGUUCAAAUCGACGGCGAUGUUCGGCACCUUAACUUUGUUCAGUUACAAGAGAAUUAGAACAACAUCGGGGUGCCUAGAAGAGCAAUCUUCUAAGAACUGAUACAUUCCUUCUUACAUCAGUAAGAAAACAAUCUUUUCAAUCAAUUUGGCUAUAUGCUGGAACUCCCGGCCUUAAUUAGCAUGCAUACCUAAACAGUAAUUCGAAAGUUUAUGCUGAAUGGUUUAAAAACUUGCAUGUGAGGGACAAUCAGCAGGAAAGACUUCUACGU
Molecule: ribosomal RNA, 3027 nt
Filed under: Candidatus Campbelliibacteriota bacterium
Lineage: Bacteria; Candidatus Campbelliibacteriota
Description: bacterial LSU rRNA
Rfam family: Bacterial large subunit ribosomal RNA
Source: RNAcentral